This 502-nucleotide ribosomal RNA is filed under the name uncultured bacterium. RNAcentral's name for it is "partial 16S ribosomal RNA". It matches the Rfam family "Bacterial small subunit ribosomal RNA", at positions 29 to 523 of the family's 1533-position model. The record is from RNAcentral.
AACGAACGCUGGCGGCACGUUUUAAGCAUGCAAGUCGAAUGGCAGCAGGGGCAACUCUGUGAGAAUGGCGAACGGGUGAGUAACACGUAGGUGAUCUGCCUUGAGGAUGGGGAUAGCCUGUGGAAACACAGGGUAAUACCGAAUGAGCUGACGAGACUUUGGUUUUGUUAGUAAAGGUGCUACGGCACCGCCUUGAGAGGAGCCUGCGGCUGAUUAGCUAGUUGGUGGGGUAAGAGCUUACCAAGGCGACGAUCAGUAGCCGGCCUGAGAGGGUGUACGGCCACACUGGAACUGAGACACGGUCCAGACUCCUACGGGAGGCAGCAGCUAAGAAUCUUCCGCAAUGGGCGAAAGCCUGACGGAGCGAUGCCGCGUGAUCGAUGAAGGUCGAGAGAUUGUAAAGAUCUUUUCUACAUGAGGAAUAAGUCUGGGAGGAAUGCCCGGAUGAUGACGUUAGUGUAGGAAUAAGCACCGGCUAACUACGUGCCAGCCGCCGCCGUAA